Molecule: long non-coding RNA, 1212 nt
Filed under: Chloebia gouldiae (Gouldian finch)
Lineage: Eukaryota; Metazoa; Chordata; Aves; Passeriformes; Passeridae
Description: Erythrura gouldiae (Gouldian finch) lncRNA (ENSEGOG00005006666.1)
Source: RNAcentral
UGCACAAGUAGAAAGUGUUUUGUCUCCUUGCAGAUUUGGUGGCAAAGUGAGCACAAUCCCCACCAAGCCUAGGCAAACUCUGCUGUGAAAGGAAGGCAAAUAAAGACCUGCAAGAGCUCCUUCACAGAGGCUGAGAGAAGAGACAAUGUUUACCCAAAAACCCUAAAGCAAACUCAGGAAUUAAGGCUGAACAUCUUUGUGUGUGUUUCCAAGCAAGACACUUUGUAAGCAAAGCUUUAUUUAACUCUCUGCUGUCACAAAUUCAAACAGUGAAAUGGCUCCUAACCCUAAUUAACUCAAAAUGUUUGACAUCUUAGGAAAGCCUUGAAGCACAGAAGGGCUUCCUAUCAGCCAAACCUACAGUGCAGACCAAAAGUUUUCCUAUUCAAAUGUCAGAUUUUCAAUUUCCAUCAGGCAUCAUAUAAACUACAAGCAACCUCACACAAGAGCCAGCAACCUUUUUGGUUCCUAGAGAGCAUUUUUCUAGGAUAAAAGCUUUAAAGAGAUCUACAGAUUAAUAACUGCAAGCAGAAAAUCCCAACUUCUUCUCAGACCCAAGGGGUGUGAAAAUGAGUAGAAGUGAUUGGGUCACACAGUGAAAAGGCAAAGCAGAAAUGUUCCUUGCAUGGUGUUGCAAGAGGGGUAGGAUAAGAGAACAAGGUCAGACCUUCCUCUGAGCUGAUCUCUCUGCCACUGGGCAGAGGAUGGAUCCAAGAGAACACAAAAUUUCUGCUACUACUCAGGCUAGUGACUGCCUAAGGAUAGAAAGCUUAACCCGCUCUUUCCUCAAAAGCUCUUGUCUUUCAUUUGUGCAGUUCCAACUCUAAGUGGCCUCUGAAAUGAUGCAAACAAGAUCUGGUUGCUCACUGCCUGUUAAUGACCCUGCUGCUGUGCAGCCCCAUCAGCUCUGUGCAGAGCUCAUUUCUGCUGAGCAAUCACAGCUCAGUGGCUGGAAACCCAGAGAUCAUCAAUUUCAAGAACUGCAAAGGUGAAGCUGGGAGCCACAGCCAGGAGAACUUGGUGCUGGUGAGAGAGAAAGGGAAAAGGCUGCUUACACCUGAUGUGCUCACAGAAGGAACAGGGUUUGACCAACAGAAGCAGCAGGAAAAUGACUUCUCCAUCUCCAGACGUGCAUCAUGGCUAUAACUCACUGACAAUGGUGGAUUUUAACAGGAAGGAGAAGAAUAAAAGCAAGAAUAAACACUCUGAACA